UACGGAGGUGGCAAGCGUUAUCCGGAAUUAUUGGGCGUAAAGCGCACGUAGGCGGUUUCUUAAGUCUGAUGUGAAAGCCCACGGCUUAACCGUGGAGGGUCAUUGGAAACUGGGAAACUUGAGUGCAGGAGAGGAAAGUGGAAUUCCAUGUGUAGCGGUGAAAUGCGCAGAGAUAUGGAGGAACACCAGUGGCGAAGGCGACUUUCUGGUCUGUAACUGACGCUGAUGUGCGAAAGCGUGGGGAUCAAACAGG
This 253-nucleotide ribosomal RNA is filed under the name uncultured bacterium. RNAcentral's name for it is "partial 16S ribosomal RNA". It matches the Rfam family "Bacterial small subunit ribosomal RNA", at positions 524 to 776 of the family's 1533-position model. The record is from RNAcentral.